AUGUUUCUCUGGCGUUCGGAGGACUGGACGAUGCAACUUUGCGGUUUGCCGGAGACGGCAAAGCUGGCUGAUGGUGAAAAUGCCAUUGGAGUGAAAAUAUCGAUAAAUGUUGGCGAUCCGAGCGUUGGAUUGGCAACGAAUGAACCAGAUCAAGCUGCUCCAUUUCACCAUGCCGUCACCCGAAUUCGUCCCGCCAUAGAGAAAGAGAGCUCCGCCUCUAGAUCGACGCUGGUGCCCCCAUCCAAUCCGCCAUCACAUAGCCNNNNNNNNNNUCCCAACCUCGACCUCCAGCUCGCCGCCCAGCCGAAUCUUCGCCUUACAAAAACCACCAGCCGCAGUGGUUGGUGUUGGCCCACCUAA
RNAcentral lists this ribosomal RNA (360 nucleotides) under Triticum aestivum (bread wheat). Its description in RNAcentral is "partial small subunit ribosomal RNA". The record is from RNAcentral. Lineage: Eukaryota; Viridiplantae; Streptophyta; Magnoliopsida; Poales; Poaceae.